This 1797-nucleotide ribosomal RNA is filed under the name Triticum aestivum (bread wheat). RNAcentral describes it as "partial small subunit ribosomal RNA". Lineage: Eukaryota; Viridiplantae; Streptophyta; Magnoliopsida; Poales; Poaceae. The record is from RNAcentral.
AUGCCGAUGCCUGGAACAUUCUUCGUCCGUUUCUCGCAUCGCCAGUGGUUUGACCUGGUGGUGACGGCGCCAUUCAUACACUUCAGAGGCACGCCGUUGCUCAGUAGGCGGUGGAACAGGUUCACCUUCGCCACCUCUCACCCCUGCCGCUACAGCGUCCGCCUCUUCAUCGAGGGCGUGCCAAAGGAAAACUGGUGUGUCGAAGCCGUUCAAUCCAUGCUCCCGGAGUGCUUGAUCUACCAGGUCGCGGCGGAGACCCAUGAGAAGACGGACAUGUCCUACUUCGUCGUCCGAGCCUGGGUCGAGGACCCUGGCCUAGUCCCCACCGAAUCCAUCUUCGUUCUGCGCGACAAGAGAGCCUGCACCGACCCACACUCUCAUGGGUCCAUGCCCCCCGGCAUGGGACGCGAUGGAGAUGGACCGGCGAGCUGCGACUGCAUCGAGCUGGUGCCACGGGUGCUGCACAAACCGGCAAUUGUGCAUGUCGACGCAGUCGCCUUCUACCCCCCUGCUCCGGAUGGCGACCGAUGGACGGGGCCAAACGCCGACGACGACACCCACGGCGAAGACCCGCAGCCUGAGGAACUCCCCCGUUCAUGGGCGCAUGCCGUCCCCGACGACCGCUACCGCGGCCAUCCAGACUCAUCCCUCUCGCUGUCCGCUCGCCGACGCCGUCGCGGCGCUGACCGCACCUACUCCGGGCGCUACCAUCGAGUACCUGGCACGCCACAACCACCCAGGCUCGUGCGCUGCCCAGUGCGGGCGGGCACGCCGACACCGCAAGCAGAGGGCGCCACACAAGACGUAACGGUGCAGCACGCGGGACGGGCGAUGGGAGAGGCGCAUGUUGAUGGCGACGGCGACGCCGUUCCGCCAGCCAACGACGCGGCGCUGCCUGCGGUGGGCCACGCCACGGACAUGCUGCCCUGUGGAGAGGCUGCAGCGCACCUGGUGGGCCAUGCAGACACGCUGAGCGCCCUGCUGGCAGACAAGAGUUUGGGGCCGGCGUCGACCCCCAUGUCGCUGCUGCAACAGCACGCUGACCAGGCUGAGGUCCACCGUGCCAGCCACCAGGUGGCAGAAGGACAGAGCAUGCAGUCGCCCACUUCCUCUCCGCUGAUGACUGGAGCCAUCACGGCGCCCGACAUGCCGGAUCCCAGGCUGCCGCAUGCCACAUCUGGAGACCACGCGCAGGAGGACACAUGCAUGCAUGCAGGGGAGGGGCGCGCCUUGCCAAGAGAAGACCACCAGCCUGCAGGGGGGCAGAGCAACACCCCCAUGCAGGCCAAUGACGGGUUGGGCCCGCAGUUGGGUCUCGGGGAGGAAAUACGCAGGAACGAGAACAACAACGCAUCGGCUGUAGCGCUGCAGACGGAGCCCACGCUCCAUAGCACAGACCCACCCGUGCCCCUCACGCCUGGGUCAAACACUGCAGGAUUUUUCAACAGCAUCCGCGCGCCGAUCGCCCCGCCGCUGCUACCGACGCCUACCACCGCCAACAAGAACAAGAGGAGUAACACCAGAACCCCAGGAACGGCGACGAGGAGGAGCAACAGGCUGCAGGGGAAGAAGAAGCUCCUUGCAGGUGAGAAGAGCUCCAUCAUGCGUCAGGCGAGACGCCUCGUCAUGUCCAAGAGAGGCCUAGCCAUCCCAGACCAAGGGGAAGCCGAGGAAGAGCGUUUGGAACAGUAUGCCAGGGCUUUUGAUGAGCCACUCUCCCCUGAGCAAAUAAGCGCGCUCUCGGCUCUUGCAAAGACAGGGAAGAAACUGAAGCCGGCGGCGAAGGCACAUGCCUGA